AAAAGAGUCCCCUUUUUUCCAGUCAGCCAAUAAGAAUACAAAGUAAUAUGUAAAUUAAACAGAAAUGAUCAUGUCUGCAUUGAGUCACAUUCUGAAAUAGGCAGAUUUUAGAUGAGAGGUUGGGGCACAGGCUACCGGCACUACUGUUGUAAACUCUCAAAGCAAACAACUCCCAGGUGUUGAUGCUCUGCCGAUGACACACACACACACACACCCCUCCCGUCCUUCCAGCAUGACUGCACACAGACCCCACCCUAAGGACAGAGUCAGCCUGAACAUCACCACAAAACGGAACAAUAAAACCAACGAGAAUUUUCUUUCACACCAUCAGCACACUUCAGUGGAUCCUCCCUGCUCACACUGCUGAGAACAGUGCAUUGAAUGAGUUGAGUUUAAGCUUUGUAAGCUUUUUUGUUGUAUUUAUACAGUUUCUGUGUGAUUUUGUUUAUUUUGAUAAGAUUGAGAUAAAUGCAGUAUAUUAAGGGUCUUGGGCUUUUGUAACAGAGUUCCGGACUCAUUUAAUUUACAUCGAAUAGGCCCCUCAUCCACCUCCCCUAUCGAAUGGGUUUUUCACCUGCAUGCCCACAGUUGUUUCCUGAGGUUUCUGAACACACCCUGUCUGGUAGCCGGGUGACGAAGCUAGGCGGGAGAUCUCUCAAUUACCCGCACCUGCAUCUCAUCAGCCAUCUGCACACCUGGUCCUGAUCAUCACCUCUUCUCUUCAUAAGCUCUGACCUGACAUCCAUUCCCCGCUGGAUCGUUAGCAAUGAACAUCAUUCUCCCGGAACAUUCACCCACCCGCCUGGUCGUCGGUGGCUUCUGUGACAUCAUUGGAUCUGCCUAUUCA
RNAcentral lists this long non-coding RNA (847 nucleotides) under Salmo salar (Atlantic salmon). Its description in RNAcentral is "lncRNA (ENSSSAG00000086866.1)". The record is from RNAcentral. Lineage: Eukaryota; Metazoa; Chordata; Actinopteri; Salmoniformes; Salmonidae.